This 2768-nucleotide small RNA is filed under the name Arabidopsis thaliana (thale cress). RNAcentral describes it as "ATSL261350". The record is from RNAcentral. Lineage: Eukaryota; Viridiplantae; Streptophyta; Magnoliopsida; Brassicales; Brassicaceae.
AAAUUUGAAUUUUUUUGUGAAUGAUUAUUAUUAGAAUCUGUUUCCCAAACUUAAAAUUAAAAAACUACAAACACAUCAUCCUAGUCAGCAUUUGUUAACGGAACAGUAGCACCGUCUAAUUAUUUGGGGCUUUCCACCGGAUUUACAUAGUUUGUAUUGUAAAUUCAAAUUAAAUCAAAGUUCAUGUAGUUAAAAGCACAUAAGAAAGUUUCGUGUAUGAAAGCGAUAAAGUAACUUAGUUCAUGGUGGAAUAUGUAACACUCGCCCCGCCAUAUAGGCCAAGACGGCAUGUUAUUCAUCUGAUCUUGCCAAAACGUUUUUUUUAAACUUCACACACAAACGAAAUAUUGCACACAACUCCUCACGCUUACUAACCUGAGGAAAAAGGGAAAAAAAGGGGUGAGUAAAGAAUACUCAGUGAGGAGAAUCAACUCUGCCCACUGAAACAUAAAACACUUUCCAAAGCUAUACAACCAUCAUCAUAACAUAUAAACUUAGACACACGCAAUCAACUUAACAUGCUUUAACUUCUAGUAACACAUUCAUAACAAUCAUCUUAUAUAUAUAUAUAUAUUAAUAUAAACAUACACAUCAUUAGGUCCAGUCAUCCUCAUAAGUGAUGACUAGAACCUCAUAAGUGGAGGCUGGCCCUCGUGGCUCAGAACCUCAUAACAUGUUUUUGACCAGCUGUUAACCGGUCAGUCCAUCACUGUCCACAUCACUAGGGAGACCACGGCCAAUAGCUCGAUUCUCCCCAGUCUUACAUACAUCAUACAUACAUAGAUACUCAUUAUCAUACUUAACAUACAUAUACUUAUAAUAUCAUACAUAACUUUACAUUAUCAAACAUCAUACUCAACAAUCAUCAAAUCAUAUCAUCACAUAAUCUUAUCCUAUGCAAUCAGAUCUAAGCCUACAUAUCAUGCGUCAAGAAGCAUAACAAAAGAAAAUGAUACCAUGUUUCGCAAAUACCACCUUCACCUUAGCCUAGUUGAAGAUGACAACACACUUCUCCUUCUCUUUCCCCUUAGACAAUCUUUAUUGUAACCAUAUAAUCAUAAGCUCUAACUUGGUUCUCCAUAAACCAGGACCUGAAUCCAUGAGUCAUGAAAGCUCCUACAAAGCUUCAGCUCAAGCCGAGUUCAUUUUCCCAAUCAAACAAUAAAAAUCGUUAGGAUUUUCUCUAUAUAAAUCUGUCUCGAAAACAUACGCAUAAGUCAGGAACUAACCAUUACAAAUGCUAUCCCACCGUUGAAUAUGUAGCCAGUAGUAUCAUGAAUAAUCCCACGAAGUUUCAUCCCGAUCAGAUUUCACAAUAUCCCACGUUCUUCUGAAGAUGAUGCAUCAGAACUGAUAUUUAGGUUUCUGCAACUUGAGAUGAUUCUGGACAAACUUCCAAGAUCAAUUCCGGAUGGAGCUUAAAUCUGAUGGACAAGCUGUCAGCUACUAUGAGUUCCUUGAAUCAAGAUCUUUCCAUAGACAUCUUAAUCGUGAUCUAAUUCCUUCUGGUCCAUCGGGAAAACGCAUCAUAAAACCAGUAGUCACACACUGUUCUUGAUUUAUACUUAACACAGAUUUGGACAACUUCUGCAGUUACUUGCCCAGAAAGAAACACUCAUAACUUCUCGAAUAUAAACCCGAUUGAAACUCUGUCAGUUGCUAUGGCUUCAUACAACGUGAUCUUUGCAGAUAUGUCUUAUUUAGAAACUGAUUCUCUCUGGUUUGACGGGAAACAUCCUUGUAUAACCUCAACUUGAAGCUACCAUUCUCUCUUCAUCUUCUUCCUUAUAUGCUUCUAGUUUUACCUAGCCCCCUUCUCUGAUUUACUAGGAUCUGCUUCAUCUCACUUCUCCUUACUGUCACAACGAAAUCUCCAUCUCUUAAUGCCUUUCCUUUGCAGUGGUGAUGAUCUCUUUUCCUCUGCCACGUAUCGUCCUUCGUCUCCGCUUCCUCUCAUCUUCCUCACGGUUAUCCUUCAUCUCUUCCCUUUCUCUUCUCCUCUUCAAGCGUUCCACAAUGACUAACAUACUCAACAACAACGGUAGUGGCUGACCUUUAAUUAGGGUUAAGAUUAAGACGACGCGGUGACGCUCGGUUUAGGAACGGUUGCAUGAAUCGCUUUGGUUUCCUUCACUUGUGAACUCUCUUCUCUCUCGGAUAUGGUAACGACCCCACUAUAGAACUCAUGUGUUGAUGCUUUGGAUUUGCUUUCUCAAGAUUCUUAUUUGGUUUCCGUUAGUGGCUCAGAGAAAAGGGAGAUAGAUUCACCUAUAUAUAUGUGCAACCAACAACACACGUAACAAAACCCUUUAACAUUAGGGAGUUGCUUCACUUGGGUUUAAAUGGGCUCCAUGGGUUCCAUGGGCUUUGCUUUUUGACAAAACGAAUAGGGUGGGCUAUUGAUGUUGGGUUUGGAGUGUUACAGAAUAAGUCGUUCUUUAUCUUUUUGGUUUUAGUUAGGUGUUUCAACUCUUUCUUCUGCUAAUCAAGGUUCAGUGUUAAGAUAGUGAGAAAAAAUACUCAUAAUGCAAGCAUAUAAUGGAAGCCAUAAGAUCAGUGUAAACUUUUAAGUUUCAUGUUUGAUCUUAUUGUGAUUUAUUAUGAGUCUGCUAUUAACAAGCUACUAUUUUACUCCUUUCUCUUUAGUAAUAAACAAUGUUGUACUUCUUUAGUUUGUUUGGUUUGUAAAUUUACUUGUUGUAUGUUGUGUCUUCAACUCGGGUUCUUCAAUGAUGGACGAUGCUGUUGAUAUAUAUAUAUAUAUAUAU